Molecule: long non-coding RNA, 896 nt
Organism: Papaver somniferum (opium poppy)
Lineage: Eukaryota; Viridiplantae; Streptophyta; Magnoliopsida; Ranunculales; Papaveraceae
Exons: 4
Source: RefSeq, a predicted model, not a curated record
UAAUUAUUUUUGACGCCUACGACAGCGAUCAGCCGCUUAAAUGUUGAUGCUAGAUUUGUUUUUCAGAUUGUAACUGGGACACCUCUAAUAUUGAUGCUAGAUGUCUUUUUCUGAUUGUAACUGGUUCAGAUUGUUGGAACUAUGCAAUGAGGUGGUUCAAGAGGGUCAAAGGAUGUGAGUCAACUGCAAGGCAUGUUGUUUAAUUCCUUAAGAAGAUUCUCACCAGCAACCAUGAUGAUCAUAGUGAAUUGAGCGUCAUUUCUUCCGCUAUUGAUGCCCUUAAAAUCUCUCCCGUAGGAAUGAAGCUCAUUGUGCCUAUAUUGAACUCAUAAUCAUGUAUGACUUAUGAAUGAAAUGCUUAUUGGGUCUGUGCAAAGAAGUAGUUAGGUUACAAACAAAACGUAAAGGAUAUCGUCCAAGGUGUUCUAUUCCCUGGAUCUGGUUUAGACAAGGCAGUUGGCCUUGGGGGAGGCCCACGUGAGCUCUUUAUUGUUCGAGACCUCAAACCUAUUUUAGAUAUGUGAAUCUUGUUGACUGCCUUUCCAAGUUAAGUGCCAUGUCAGAUAUGUUCCAUCUGAAUUACGAGUAGUGGGAUUCAACAAGUUGUCGGUAAUUCCUUUCUUAUUUUCAUGUAGAAAUGUAGAUGAAAUACCAUGAUGAUAUUGAACAAGUAUAUAGGAAGUACCAUGGUAUUCAGUACCAAAAUAUGCUCAACUUUGAUCCAGAAUUGUAGUGAGAGACUUGCAGUUAUAGGAAGUUGUUUUUUAUUAUAAUUUUGAGUAACAUAUGUAAUUAUGACUGAGAUUGAUCAUGCUUGAAUUGUGCUUUCAUAUUUGAUGGAAAAUGAAAUGGCUGGCACCUCUUGCUAGGUACCUGUAUUCAGUUGUAAAAAGUGA